Molecule: ribosomal RNA, 305 nt
Filed under: uncultured bacterium
Lineage: Bacteria
Description: bacterial SSU rRNA
Rfam family: Bacterial small subunit ribosomal RNA
Source: RNAcentral
UGGAGCCUACGGGGCGCAGCAGUGAGGAAUAUUGGUCAAUGGGCGGGAGCCUGAACCAGCCAAGUCGCGUGAGGGAAGACGGUCCUAUGGAUUGUAAACCUCUUUAGGCGGGGAGCAAUGCCGGGCACGCGUGCCCGGAGGGAGAGUACCCGCAGAAUAAGCAUCGGCUAACUCCGUGCCAGCAGCCGCGGUAAUACGGAGGAUGCGAGCGUUAUCCGGAUUCAUUGGGUUUAAAGGGUGCGUAGGUUGUUUUAUAAGUUAGCGGUGAAAUACCGAUGCUCAACAUCGGGGCUGCCGCUGAUACU